AUGGACAAACUUCUAAAGCACACAGGGUUUGGUUGGGAUGACGAUGAUAAAAUGAUCAAAGCUUCAGAAGAAAGUUGGGCGGAUCUCAUAUCGAAGGACAAGAAUAUUCAAGAAUACCGAGACAAAGUGUGGCCUAGUUGGAUAGACCUUCAGGACAUUUGUGCUAGCUCUACCGCAUCAGGAGUUGGUGCUAUAUCUAGCAAAGGGAAAGGUGGAACCAGCAAAGAACAAAUUGAAAUUGAUCUGAAUGAGAUAGUAGAAGUUGUAUCUGAUGGAACAAAUGAUUCCCCUGUUGCUUGUCCUAAGAAGCCUAACACCACUAAGGUCGAGAAAAAGAAGAAGGGCAAUGCAAGUGGGUCGCAAAGCACUUCAAAAGGGCAAAAGCGAACAGCUGAUGAUGCUAUUAAUGCAAUUGAUCGCCUGGCAGAUGCAUCACUGAUUAUUGCUGAAUCAAAGAAAAAUGCAGCACAGCAAACAGAAGCUUACUCAGUGAAAGCAUGUAUGCAGAUAUUAAAUAGCAUGCCUGAUGUUGAACCAAACAAAAAAUUGAAAGCUGCACAAGCAUUUGAACAUGUUGAUAAAAGGGCUAUUUUCAUUGAGAUGGAUGAAGAGACUCGGUCUCUCUGGGUUGAAAAUGCGUAG
This 642-nucleotide ribosomal RNA is filed under the name Triticum aestivum (bread wheat). RNAcentral's name for it is "partial small subunit ribosomal RNA". Lineage: Eukaryota; Viridiplantae; Streptophyta; Magnoliopsida; Poales; Poaceae. The record is from RNAcentral.